Molecule: ribosomal RNA, 223 nt
Filed under: uncultured bacterium
Lineage: Bacteria
Description: partial 16S ribosomal RNA
Rfam family: Bacterial small subunit ribosomal RNA
Source: RNAcentral
ACGCUCGACACCUACGGUAGGCAGCAGUAGGGAAUCUUCCACAAUGGACGCAAGUCUGAUGGAGCAACGCCGCGUGAGUGAAGAAGGUCUUCGGAUCGUAAAACUCUGUUGUUAGAGAAGAACACGAGUGAGAGUAACUGUUCAUUCGAUGACGGUAUCUAACCAGCAAGUCACGGCUAACUACGUGUCAGCAGCCGCGGUAAUCUGAGCGGGCUGGCAAGGC